Molecule: ribosomal RNA, 1387 nt
Filed under: metagenome
Description: SSU rRNA
Rfam family: Eukaryotic small subunit ribosomal RNA
Source: RNAcentral
UAGAAAUGGCUACCACAUCCAAGGAUGGCAGCAGGCGCGCAAAUUAUCCACUCUCAGUACGAGGAGGUAGUGACGAAAAAUAACAAUGCGGGACUCAUCAGAGGCCUCGCAAUUGGAAUGAGCGCACUUUAAAUCGUUCGACGAGGAUCUAUUGGUGGGCAAGUCUGGUGCCAGCAGCCGCGGUAAUUCCAGCUCCAAUAGCGUAUAUUAAAGUUGUUGCAGUUAAAAAGCUCGUAGUUGGAUCUGGGGUUCGGGUCGGCGGUUUGCCGCUUCGGCGGCUACUGCCGUGCUCGACUCUUACUAGCCGGUGCGUCUUGCGGUGCUCUUCAUCGAGUGCCGUAGGAGCCUGGCAUGUUUACUUUGAAAAAAUUAGAGUGCUCAAAGCAGGCGAUUCCGCCUGAAUAGUGUUGCAUGGAAUAAUGGAAUAGGACCUCGGUUCUAUUUUGUUGAUUUUCGGAACUUGAGGUAAUGAUUAAGAGGGACGGUCGGGGGCAUUCGUAUUUCGGUGUUAGAGGUGAAAUUCUUGGAUCGCUGAAAGACGGACAAAUGCGAAAGCAUCUGCCAAGAACGUCUCCAUUAAUCAAGAACGAAAGUCAGAGGUUCGAAGACGAUCAGACACCGUCCUAGUUCUGACCAUAAACGAUGCCAACUAGCGAUCCGCAGUGGUUGCUAUAAACGGACUCUGCGAGCAGCUUCCGGGAAACCAAAGUGUUUGGGUUCCGGGGGAAGUAUGGUUGCAAAGCCGAAACUUAAGGGAAUUGACGGAAGGGCACCACCAGGAGUGGAGCCUGCGGCUUAAUUUGACAACACGGGGAAACUCACCCGGUCCGGACACUGUAAGGAUUGACAGAUCGAGAGCUCUUUCUUGAUUCGGUGGAUGGUGGUGCAUGGCCGUUCUUAGUUGGUGGAGUGAUUUGUCUGGUUAAUUCCGAUAACGAACGAGGCUCUAGCCUGCUAACUAGUUGCGCCGUGUUCAUACGCGGCUGUAGACUUCUUAGAGGGACAGGUGGCGUUUAGCCACACGAAAUUGAGCAAUAACAGGUCUGUGAUGCCCUUAGAUGUCCGGGGCCGCACGCGCGCUACACUGAAGGAGUCAGCGUGUGCUAUCCGGGCUCGGAAGAGUUCGGUAACCCGUUGAAACUCCUUCGUGCUUGGGAUUGUGGCUUGUAAUUAUCGCGCAUGAACGAGGAAUUCCCAGUAAGUGCAAGUCAUCAGCUUGCGCUGACUACGUCCCUGCCCUUUGUACACACCGCCCGUCGCUACUACCGAUUGAAUGGUUUAGCAAGGUACUCGGAUUGGUCUCGAUCUUGUACGAAAGUGCGGGAUCUGUGGCCGAGAAGAAGGCCAAACUUGAUCAUUUAGAGGAAGUAAAAGUCGUAACAAGGUU